GAUGAACGCUAGCGGCAGGCCUAAUACAUGCAAGUCGGACGGGAUUCAGGAGCUUGCUUCUGAUGAGAGUGGCGCACGGGUGCGUAACACGUAUGUAACCUACCUUUAUCAGGGGGAUAGCCUCUCGAAAGAGAGAUUAAGCCCGCAUAAAAUCACAGCACAGCAUUGUGUAAUGAUCAAAUAUUUCUAGGAUAAAGAUGGGCAUGCGGAACAUUAGCUAGAUGGCGGCGUGACGGCCCACCAUGGCGACGAUGUUUAGGGGAUCUGAGAGGAUGUCCCCCCACACUGGUACUGAGGCACGGACCAGACUCCUACGGGAGGCAGCAGUAAGGAAUAUUGGUCAAUGGGCGGAAGCCUGAACCAGCCAUGCCGCGUGCAGGAAGACGGCCAUACGGGUUGUAAACUGCUUUUAUACGGGAAUAAACCCAGAUACGUGUAUCUGGCUGAAUGUACUGUAAGAAUAAGGAUCGGCUAACUCCGUG
Molecule: ribosomal RNA, 482 nt
Filed under: uncultured bacterium
Lineage: Bacteria
Description: partial 16S ribosomal RNA
Rfam family: Bacterial small subunit ribosomal RNA
Source: RNAcentral